GAAUGUAUACCUCAAGUGGUAGAGCACAUGCUUAGCAUGCAUGAGGUCCUGGGUUCAGUCCCCAGUACCUUCU
This is a transfer RNA of Camelus ferus (Wild Bactrian camel), 73 nucleotides long. It matches the Rfam family "tRNA". From Rfam's summary of the family: Transfer RNA (tRNA) molecules are approximately 80 nucleotides in length. Their secondary structure includes four short double-helical elements and three loops (D, anti-codon, and T loops). The record is from Rfam. NCBI's taxonomy places the organism in Eukaryota, Metazoa, Chordata, Mammalia, Artiodactyla, Camelidae.